CAUGCAAGUCGAGCGGCAGCGGGAAAGUAGCUUGCUACUUUUGCCGGCGAGCGGCGGACGGGUGAGUAAUGCCUGGGAAAUUGCCCAGUCGAGGGGGAUAACAGUUGGAAACGACUGCUAAUACCGCAUACGCCCUACGGGGGAAAGCAGGGGACCUUCGGGCCUUGCGCGAUUGGAUAUGCCCAGGUGGGAUUAGCUAGUUGGUGAGGUAAUGGCUCACCAAGGCGACGAUCCCUAGCUGGUCUGAGAGGAUGAUCAGCCACACUGGAACUGAGACACGGUCCAGACUCCUACGGGAGGCAGCAGUGGGGAAUAUUGCACAAUGGGGGAAACCCUGGUGCAGCCAUGCCGCGUGUGUGAAGAAGGCCUUCGGGUUGUAAAGCACUUUCAGCGAGGAGGAAAGGUUGGCCCCUAAUACGUGU
Molecule: ribosomal RNA, 422 nt
Filed under: Aeromonas caviae
Lineage: Bacteria; Pseudomonadati; Pseudomonadota; Gammaproteobacteria; Aeromonadales; Aeromonadaceae
Description: bacterial SSU rRNA
Rfam family: Bacterial small subunit ribosomal RNA
Source: RNAcentral